AUGGGAGGAUACAAAAAGUAUCCUAACUAUGUUCAUUGCAUUUCAACAGGUCUGCUGGGUAAUGUCAGCAAUUGUGGUAUCAAGAUCCAAUCAUCCAGUGAAAGCUUCAAGGCAAUUCAAUUCAAGGCCCUCUCAGCUGUGCUCUCUUCUGAAAGCUGUCUGUGGAAUCAACCAGUCAUGGAUAAAAGAACCUCUAAAGUCAGUCCUAACACACCCAUACCAAUCAUCAGAAGGCUGGCAGAUAAAUACCUAAAACCCACCCUGGCUUCCAAAAACAUAAUGAGUUUUGUACUUGGUAGGCAACUGGGGAGGCACAGAAAUUAUCUGGAUUUGUCCAAAUGGCUGUGGAUGCCGACACAAGCUGCACCAGGGUGGAGUUGGCCACUGCCAAAAAGUCAUAUAACCUACCUGCUUAUGCCUGUCCAUAAUCUUGGAAAAUGCAAAAAAAAAGUAAAAUAACAAAAUCCUCCCUUGUUUCACUGGCUAAAAUGAAAGAUGCCUGUCAGUCCUUCUAGUUUGAUAUGUUUUUAUGUUGAUAUAAUUUUCCUGAGUUACACUGGAGAGGAAAUUCUAUUCAUUAUAACAGUCUUUGCAGGGGCUCUCAGACACAGUGGAGAUGGUGAGAUCACACUUCCUAUCAGAUUUCUUUCAGCUUUAAUCUGAAAAAAAAUCAAGGGAAUAGUUGGAUAGUUCUAGGUCACUCAGGGACCCAAGACUCCUGUCCCCUAGGAAAGACAUUCACUGCCAUUCACUGCCAAGGAAGAGCACUGCUUCUCAGCUGGGCCUGAAACUGCCCUCCCCACUCCCCCAAGACCCACUCUGCUGCUGGGAGGCACCAGCAAAAGGAAUCAGGCCACGAAGAGCCUAGGCCCAGGAAAUACUCCCCAGCCCCACUGGUCCGUGCCUCUUGCCUCCAGAAGCUCCCCACAUAGCAAGCAUUCCUGUCUCUGGAGGCAGCAGGGGGAAUCCUUUCCCUUACCUAGAAUCCCAAGGUGGCCUGGCCUGGGAAAACUGCUUCCAUUUCCCAGGCAGCAUCCCCAGGAACUCAAGGAAGCCCCAGUAGCCUGCAAUAAACCAAGCAAGGCAAAGGCCCCA
RNAcentral lists this long non-coding RNA (1095 nucleotides) under Bos indicus x Bos taurus (hybrid cattle). RNAcentral's name for it is "lncRNA (ENSBIXG00005002574.1)". The record is from RNAcentral. Lineage: Eukaryota; Metazoa; Chordata; Mammalia; Artiodactyla; Bovidae.